UGCAUUAUUCUUAAACAGUUUCUGAAGAUUUUCCACGACAUUCUUAUCCAGCUGGAAAGCUUUAGCGAGAACAUCAGGAUUAAUAGGUGGAUUAGGUCCGAAGAUUGCAUUUGCUAUGGUAAUGACACCUGGGUUUUGGCUGCUUAGACCUGCAAACGCAACUGCAUGCGUUUUUGCAAUAUUAAACUGGAAAUGAAUGAGACCAAUUGGAAAUACAAACACAUCUCCUGGGUAUAAGACUUUGGAGAUAAAACGAUUAGGGUUGGAUGUGACAAAGCCAACAUAAAGGGUGCCUUCCANNNNNNNNNNNNNNNNNNNNNNNNNNNNNNNNNNNNNNNNNNNNNNNNNNNNNNNNNNNNNNNNNNNNNNNNNNNNNNNNNNNNNNNNNNNNNNNNNNNNNNNNNNNNNNNNNNNNNNNNNNNNNNNNNNNNNNNNNNNNNNNNNNNNNNNNNNNNNNNNNNNNNNNNNNNNNNNNNNNNNNNNNNNNNNNNNNNNNNNNNNNNNNNNNNNNNNNNNNNNNNNNNNNNNNNNNNNNNNNNNNNNNNNNNNNNNNNNNNNNNNNNNNNNNNNNNNNNNNNNNNNNNNNNNNNNNNNNNNNNNNNNNNNNNNNNNNNNNNNNNNNNNNNNNNNNNNNNNNNNNNNNNNNNNNNNNNNNNNNNNNNNNNNNNNNNNNNNNNNNNNNNNGAGCUGUUAGUGGAUCUAAUUCCUUUGUGUCUACAAGAUCUGGAUGUCAUCCUAGGUAUGGACUGGUUAUCCCGUCAUCAUGCCACAAUAGAUUGCUUUGAGAAAUCAGUGGUAUUUAAUAGUCUAGAAGGGUCUAAGUUCACUUUCUUUGGGGAGAGGCGUUUACUUCCUUCUUAUGUGAUUUCCGCCAUGACUACUAGGAAGAUGCUUCGGAAGGGUUGUCAAGCAUACUUAGCCUAUGUGAUGGACAGUAGUCAGGAAGGACCUAAAUUGGAGGAUAUACCAAUAGUAAACGAGUUCCCUGAUGUAUUUCCUAAAGAGCUUCCUGGGUUGCCUCCAGAUAGAGAGAUUGAAUUCUCUAUUGAUUUAAAUCCAGGUACAGCUCCUAUUUCCAUGGCACUAUACAGAAUGGCCCCAGCAGAAUUGAAGGAGUUAAAAGCACAAUUGCAGGAGUUACUUGAUAAAGGUUUCAUAAGACCCAGUGUUUCACCUUGGGGAGCCCCUGUGCUAUUUGUGAAGAAGAAGGAUGGUUCCUUAAGGUUGUGUAUUGACUACAGACAAUUGAAUCGAGUCACAGUGUGAAAUAAGUAUCCUUUACCCCGCAUUGAUGAUCUUUUUGAUCAACUUCAAGGUGCUAAAGUAUUCUCUAAGAUUGAUUUGCGGUCUGGUUAUCAUCAAUUGAAGAUCAAGGAGUCUGAAAUACCUAAGACAGCCUUUAGAACUCGUUACGGGCAUUAUGAGUUUCUCGUCAUGCCUUUCGGGUUAACUAAUGCACCCGCUGCUUUUAUGGAUCUCAUGAAUAGGGUGUUCAAGCCCUACUUGGAUAGCUUUGUUAUUGUGUUUAUUGAUGACAUCUUAGUGUAUUCUCGUAGCAAGGAAGAGCAUGAUGCAUCUACGGAUAGUACUGCAGAUUUUGAGAGAUAAACAACUAUAUGCUAAAUUGAGCAAAUGUGAGUUCUGGCUUGAUCGGGUGGUUUUCUUGGGACAUGUUAUCUCAGCAGAUGGAGUUUUGGUUGAUCCUAAGAAGAUUGAAGCAGUAGUCAAUUGGGAUCCUCCGACGAAUGUUACCGAGGUUAGAAGUUUUCUGGGCUUAGCAGGGUAUUAUCGUCGCUUUGUUCGGGAUUUCUCCAUCAUUGCAGCACCAUUGACUAAACUCCUUCGAAAGAAUGCAAAGUUUGAAUGGACAGAUGAAUGUCAAGAGAGUUUUGAGAAGCUUAAAACGUGUCUUACAUCAGCUCCAGUUCUUACCUUACCCUCAGGUACAGAUGGAUUUGUGGUGUAUAGUGAUGCUUCUCACAAGGGUUUAGGUUGUGUACUCAUGCAACAUGGGAAGGUGAUAGCUUAUGCUUCUAGACAGCUUAGACCACAUGAAUUAAAUUAUCCCACCCAUGAUCUGGAAUUAGCUGCAGUAGUGUUUGCAUUAAAGACAUGGAGGCAUUAUCUUUAUGGCGUGACUUGCCAGAUUUUUACAGAUCAUAAGAGUUUGAAGUAUCUUCUCACACAGAAGGAGUUGAAUUUAAGGCAGAGACGGUGGAUUGAGUUACUUAAGGACUACGACUGUACUAUUGAAUAUCAUCCAGGUAAAGCUAAUGUGGUAACUGAUGCUCUUAGUCGCAAGUCCUUUAGUAAUUUAGCCUAUCUCAAAACAGUUCGGCUUCCUUUGUUACUAGAGAUCAGAUCCUUAAGGGUAGAGCUAGCAGUGGAUGAUGCAGGAGCAUUGUUAGCAACUCUUAAAGUUCGACCAGUGUUGAUAGAAAAAGUCAGAGAAGCCCAAAAUCAACAUGAGCAGUUGAGUAAAAUCAGUAAUGAAGUAAGAGAUGGCACCCGUAUUGACUUUUCUUUAAGGGAAGACAAUAUUUUAAUGUUUGGUAAUAGACUGUGUGUACCCAAAGUGGAAAGCUUGAAGAGAGAGAUUAUGGAGGAAGCCCAUUGUUCUGCUUACUCUAUGCAUCCAGGCAGUACAAAAAUGUACAGAGAUCUUAGAGAAAACUAUUGGUGGCCAGGUAUGAAGAAAGAAAUAGCUGACUUUGUGUCUACAUGUUUAGUUUGCCAACAGAUUAAAGCAGAACAUCAACAUCCAACAGGGAAGCUGCAACCACUCUCUAUUCCGGAAUGGAAGUGGGAACACAUCACUAUGGAUUUUAUUUUUGGGUUAUCUCGUAGUUCGCAUAGACAUAAUGCAGUUUGGGUGAUAGUUGAUAGAUUAACCAAGUCAGCACACUUUUUUCCUGUCAGGAUGAAUUAUUCUUUAGACAAGUUAGCAGAGAUCUAUGUCAAUGAGAUUGUAAGACUUCAUGGUGCUCCAGUUUCUAUUGUUUCAGAUAGAGCUCCAAGAUUCACUUCUCGUUUUUGGCCUAGUUUGCAAAAUGCUUUAGGCACUAAGUUGAAGUUUAGCACUUCUUUCCACCCUCAAACUGAUGGUCAAUCAGAAAGAACUAUUCAGACCUUGGAGGAUAUGCUGAGAGCUUGUGUAAUGGAGUUUAAAGAAAGUUGGGAUAGGUAUGUGCAUUUAAUGGAGUUUUCUUAUAAUAAUAGUUAUCAUUCGAGUAUCGGCAUGGCUCCUUACGAAGCUUUGUAUGGGAGAAGAUGCAGAACACCAUUGUGUUGGAAUGAGAUAGGGGAAAGACAAUUAGAAGGUCCAGAACUUGUACAACACACUACAGAUAAAAUUCAGAUGAUCAGAAGUAGAUUAAAAGCAGCACAAGACAGAUAGAAGAGUUAUACAGAUCUGAAGAGAAGGGAUAUUGAAUAUAAUGUUGGCGACAAGGUAUUUCUGAAGAUCUCUCCUUGGAAAGGGGUUGUACGUUUUGGCAAACGUGGAAAAUUGAGUCCGCGAUUCAUUGGACCAUAUGAGAUUUUAGAGAGAAUUGGACCAGUUGCUUAUCCUUUAGCACUACCUCUAGAGCUAUCUCAGAUUCAUGAUGUCUUCCAUGUAUCUAUGUUAAGGAGAUACAGAAGUGACCCUUCCCACAUCCUCCAGAAAUAGCCUAUUGAGUUGAGGAAAGAUUUAACAUAUGAAGAAGAGCCAGUAGAGAUCAUUGCCAGAGAAGAGAAGGUUUUAAGGAGCAAGAUAAUACCCUGGUUAAAGUUCGAUGGAGUAACCAUUCUACUAAAGAAGCUAUCUGGGAAAAAGAAGAAUAUGCGAAUUCAAUUUCCACAUUUAUUCCCUUCACCAGGUAUGUAAAUUUCGAGGACGAAAUUUCUAUUAGGAGGAGAGAAUUAUCAGGCCCAGGCCCAGGCCUUUAAACAAAAAUAAUAAUAAUAAUAAUAAUUAAAAGCUUUGGUUUCGGGAAGGAUCCCGAAACCGCGGCCACCGUCUUCCUCCUCCAGAAAUAGAGCUUGCUCUGUUAGUUUAAAAAAAAAAAAAUUUCCUUUUCUUUAAAUCCAAAUCUUCUCCUUCUCAACCCAACCAACCCAUAAACUUCUAAGAUCCUUCAGCUAGAUCCUGAUUAAACCUAUAUUCUGCUUAAAAAAUUCAAUAAUGUCUUCCAGAGGCUCCAAAAUUUGGGUAGGUGAGUUUUAUUCCUUUUAUUCAAUUUUUACGAUAUAAUUUAUUUUCUUUCCCUUUUAAUAGUGAUUUUUGUGAUUUGAGGAUAAAAAUGGGUUAUGUUUUAGGUAGAUCCAAUUAAUGAGUUUUAAUAUUUAUUUUUGGGAUUAAUGAUUUUUAUAGGUUGAUUUAAAUAAUAUUUACAGCUUAUUGAGUAUUUUUGUUGAGUUUGGAUAUUUUUGGAAGGACUAACUAUGCCGAAAUAUUACCGAAAUUUUCUUAAAAAUAUAUAUAUAAAUAUAUUUAAAAUUUCGUAUUUUACAUUUUAUAUUAUUGUUCUAGAGCAUUUUUAUUAUUUGAUAUAUUAUUUUAUUUUCUUUUUAAUUCUAGGAGAGGAUCCAGCUUCCAGGAUAGAUAAUAGGGGUCCUCCUGCGACCUAGGUCUUUUGUCCCAAGUAUUCUGGUGAGGGGAUAAAUAUAUAACAUUGAUAUUUUUCUUAAAUGUAUUUAUAUGUGUAUAUGUUAUUUUGUUUAUUUAAAAUGGGAAAGGAUAAAGUUAUUUUAUAUUUCUUGAAUCACUGAAAAUUUAAUGUAAAGCACAGCUGAAUAAAUAGCCGAUUACACUCUGUAUAUGCACCGAACAGAUAACACCUUGAUGACAGGUGAUUUAUUUUCAGCAUGAUAUAUAGUUAUACUGUCUUUGGGACAGCGCUUGAUAUACAGAUAGCCUUUGGGGCGUAUGUCAGGUGGUCACCCUUUGGGGGUAGCUCUGCACAUGUGUAUGACCAGCAUUUCAUUAGCUCUUAGGCCAAAUUUGUCAUUAUAGAGCCUAAGAUGCCAGCAUUGCUAUCAGGCUGUUAUUAUUUUAUUAUACCUGAGAUGCCAGCAUUAUCUGCAGGGAACAUAUUAUGAGUGUAUGCGGAUUCUAUUUUUCACAGUUUAUUUUAUAUUGAUGGAAUUAAAUUGUAUUUAUUCAGCUGACUUAUUUUAGCUAAAUAUUUGGUACUAUUAAGUACCUAAACUUAUCUUUUCCCCUUUGUUAUUUAUUUAUCCGCUCACUGAGUAGUUUGUACUCACCCUUUUAUUUCUUUUAAAUUUACAGUUCCUUUUUGGUGAUUUGCUCAGCAGUCCUCAUCUUCUUGUUUGUCAUUCUUUCCACAUCGUCCACUCAGAGUCUAGAGGAGGUCGGACCAAUCCUAAGCCUUUUGUCUUUUCUUUUAUAAUUUUGAUAGAUCAUGUAUAGAUUGUACAGCCCAGUGGAAAAGGUGUUUUGUUGAUUGUAAAUAUUUUAUGAAUUGACAGGUCCAACUAUCAGUUUUUCUCUUUUAUGCUUAAUGUUUUGAAAUCAUAGCAGGUUAAAGGUGUUUUAUAUGUAUAAAUAUUAGGGGAAGCUCUGGCAGUUUUUCCAGUCAUAUCCAUCUCUACAGAUUAGAGAAUAGGUGUGACAUAAAAAGUGUUGCCCUAGAUGAUACUUGCUUCCUAAUUAGUGAACAGGCUGCCCAAGGUGUCAAGAGGCUGCCCAAAAGACUUCAAGAGGCUGCCCAAAAUGCCCUUAGUCCAAGAUGUGCUAUCCAUGAACAUGUGAAAAGGAAAAACGUGGGGCAUGUGUUCAAAUGCAAGGAGUGGGACCUUUGGUCUUUACUUGCUGCUCAAGUGUCUUCAAGAUGCUCCUCAAGGUACCCAAGUCUUGCCUUCACACUCUCCUUGCCGCCCAUGCACAAUUAAGGAAGGUGGAGCCUCCUUGCCGGGGAGUUGGUUAAAAUUGGCGCCCUUGCAAUGAUAUACAUCUGUGGCCCUUUGAAUCUUAAUUAAAAUUUAAUUUGUUUUCCAAGUGUUCCGGUCACAUUUUCUCAAGGAUUAAUUUAAUUAUAUAAUACUAAUUAAGUUUAUAGUGAUAUUUCAAGUAAAGUGCAAUACUGUAUCUAAAAUGAAUAGAAUCAACGUAAAUAGAAAAGACACAGAGAGAAAUCUCUUUAUUUAAUUAGUGAAGGCACACCAAGAAAGCAUCUUUUUAGUUAAUAAGGAUAUGCUUUGCUCAUUUAUUGGAGACACUGAGCAGCUUUGACUUCUACUGAUUAUUUUAUGCACUCUCAAAUAGUUUCUGAAGUUUUUCAACCAUAGCAUUGUCCAAUUGGAAGGCCUUAGCAAGAACAUCAGGAUUAAUUGGUGGAUUAGGCCCAAAGACUGCAUUUGCUAUAGUGAUGACGCCUGGGUUUUGGCUGCUUAGACCUGCAAACGCAACUGCAUUCGUCUUUGCAAUAUUGAACUGAAAGUGAAUGAGACCGAUUGGGAAUACAAACACAUCUCCUGGGUAUAAGACUUUGGUGAAUAAACGAUUGGGGUUGGAUGUGACAAAGCCAACAUAAAGGGUUCCUUCCACAACUACAAGGAUCUCUGUGGCACGAGGGUGAGUGUGGGGAGGGUUUAAGCCACCAUAGGGAGCAAAGUCUAAGCGAGCGAGAGAAAUACCAAGAGUAUUAAGUCCAGGUAUUUUAUCAACAUUUAGGAGGGUGACAUUUGAUCCAACUCGAUUUCCUGUAAAUGCUGGGAUAUUGAGUCCCGAAAAAGAGAAAUCGCCAGCUACAGUAAGGUUUGGGUUCUUGCAGAACUUUCCAUUGACAAACACUGCAUUAACACAUUAGUUACUAUUAGAAUCCAUUCACCAUAUAUGCAUUUAAACAAGAAAAAAGGAUUCUUUGAAGGAUAUACUAUGACAGAACGUGAAAGAAAAAACUGAAAGCAAGCUUAUAGAUAUACCAGCAUUCUCAGGUUCAGGAAUUGCAACACAGAAGUCCUGGAGAGGGCUAGGGUCAUCGGCAGAGGCAAAAGAGGAAGCCAAAGCCAAAGCCAAAGCCAACAAGACAAGGAAAUCAAAGGCCUUCAUUUUAUGACUUGUUUUGCUAGCCUUUAAUUGUUGAGUUGGAGGUGUGAAUAAUCUUGCAUGAAUAAAUGAGUAUUUAUAGGUUAAAUUAGUCUCUCAUCUCUGCUUUGAUCUCUAGAUGCUGAUGCAAGGUUGCUAGGUAGUGGUUAAUGAUUUCCAUUUUUUUUUUAAAAAAAAUUUAAGCAACCCAGGAACUUUUCUACAAGUAUGUGCAUAUGCAUUUAAUCAUCCCUUCUUUUGAAUUAAAUUUCAAUCUCAAGUUGGAAUGAUUCAACUCUUUCAAGCUUCUGCAACCUGUGAUGAAAAUUUGCAUUUUGACCUCCCUAGAGUUCUAAUUUUCUUUUCUCACCACCUUUUUUUGUUUAAGGGAAAGAGGAUACUAUGUUUAUGGGUUGGAUUUUUGUAUGUACUCAGCUCGACUAAAUCAUAUUAGAACAGAUUGUUUCUUAGUGUAGAUAUCUGUUUUGAUAUAUGGUAAAAGAUCGUACAAGUUCCUACAAUAUAAAUUAUGGUUACAUUCAUGAAUUUAUUAGCUAUUUUCAUGAAUUUUUAUGAAUAUUUUAUCUUUUACUGGGCUGAUUUUGCUAGAAUAUAUUGAGAAAAAAAUAAAUAAAUGGAGGGACUAUCCAAUUGAAUAAAAAAAAUUAGGAAAAUAUUAAGAGAUAAAAAUGCAAAAGAAUAUGGCAUUACUUAAAGACCGAGUAUCAAUUCAUCAAAUUAAUUUAAUAAAAUCAGUAGUUAAAAUUCAAACUUUGUAAAUAAUAAAAAAGGGUGGUUGGAUUUGAAAAGAAAAGUUCAAAUGCAAAGUGAAAAAAUAAUCAGAAACCUUGUGGUGGCGGUUGAAGUUUCCUUUCGUUUGUCUCAAAGACCACGUCAAUGAAGUAAUUGUCACCCCAUGCAUAUGCAUGAAAGAAACUUACGAAUCUUGAAUUCAAGCAAGGCCUCUAGCAGUUAGCAUACAAUAGGCCAAUUUUUUUUAGCACUAUUUCAUUAUUUAAUUAUAUACUCUUCAAUUUUUAACAUGCUAUAUUAUAAGAUUUAAUAUUUUAAUUCAACUAUUAUAGGAAGAUGGUCACCACUUUAUAAUGUAUCUAAUAAAAUGACUAUAAAUUAGUGUAAUAUAUAUUUAAAUUGCAGUUAUAAAUCGUUUCAUUUUGAUAAUAUAUAAAAAGUAAUGAAGGUUGAGAUCGUGACACGUGUACGCGUGAUUUAAAAGAGACGAGUUAACCUUUUUAUCUGAUCUGACCAAAUUGAAAAAAGACCAUUAUCACUCUUGACCUCCUCCAUACCCAGAACGAGCAGGGCGACCUUUUCAUUGCUCCUACCACAUAUUAGAAACAAAUGUAAAGACCAUCGAUCCCAAUGAAGAUCGUGCAGACUGGGCAUCACCUGAUAAAACUAGAGUAAGUCAACCAAUUUCCAUGCGAUAAUCGACCCCUCUUUAGCCCAUUCCGAGAUAUUAAAUAAGUGUGCAGAAAGACUGCUCAUCCACCUAACAUACCUGCCAAAAAAUAUGGGCUCAAUGGCUUAGCAUUAAUCAGUUGUCUGCCAGCUGGCUUACAUACCUGCCGCACCAUGUCACCAUCCAAUCCGGUAGAACAUAAAGCAGGAAAUCGGGAUAUAAAUAUCCCAAAACCCACCUUGCCACAAGAGGCUAUAAGGAAGAGACCAUCUUUCUCUCUCAAGCUUCGGUAAAUUGACUCUCCCUAAAACAAAAAGUUCUCUUAAAGUGGACUCUCUCUUUGAUAUAUCAACUGAGGAACCCCGCCAGAUAGAGGCUCUCUUUUCUCUAGGAGCCAAGGCCCAAAAGGAGUUAAUAUUCUUCACAUAUACUCACAGAAAUAUCCUCAAAAUAAAGGUCCUUUGGAGAUUUCUUGAAAAUAUUUUAUUACUUCAUUUACUUUUAUUUCCUCUCUAUAUUAACAAUCUAACCUGAGCUUCGGAGGGUCUCCACUGGGGGCAUUCCCAGUGGACCCCUAAUCAUCUUGUCUGUCUUACAGAUCCCCUCCCACAAGAUCAAGUGUGGAAGGACUCAACAGAACCAAUCCUGGAGGCUGGAUCAACAGUCAACCUAUUGGAUUGAACCACUACCAGGUGUUCACAUAUGGACACCCCCUAGAUCUCCCUUACAUCAUGUGGCGCUGUCUGCAACGAAUGAGACUAUCCGAUCGCUGGAGUUUCCAAACCAAACUUAUUGAGAUCCACGUGGCAAACCAAAAAAAGCUAAUAGCCAAACAAUAAGAAAAAUAAAAAGAAAGAGAGGGGUGAAAAGACUCAAGAAUCACCAGUUGUAUCUAAAAGCCACACGACGAAAAAUCAAAUAGAAAAAGAUGUUGAUGCGAUAAGAAGGAGCAACCAUGGAAAAGGAGUGACGUGCACGAAUUACCCAAUUUGUAUAGUUACAUUCUUUAACUCAAGGUAUUUUAUUAUUACGAACCAGUAAAAAAAGUUAUAAUGAACCAUAAUAUGAUAAGUACAUUAAAAAAGCUUAAAAGCUCUCAUCUAUGAUUAAUUUUAGCAUAAAUCCAUUGAAAACAAGAUUAUCUGUUUAAUUGGAAGGUGUGAAGUAAUUUAUGCAUGAGAACACUUAUUAGAUUCUUUUGAAUCAUAUGAAAUAAUAUGGUUGCACAGAAUUAAUGUUUUCUCUACUUUUUUUUUUUUUAAAAAAAGUUGAUGUUGAAUGUGUAUAUGUUUAUACAUAAGGACGUGAAAUUUUAUUAAUGAACAUUUAGGAAAUAAAAAAAAAACUUGGAAAUAUAUCAUCAACCUUACAAAUAUAUCUAAUCUAGGACAAGUAUGCAUGGUAGUUGAAAAACUUGGAAAGAUCAGAUCUAUGUACCAAGAACAGACAAUCCCACAUUGCAGGGCAACUCAAUUGCUCAAAUAUACCACAAAAAAAAAGCAUCAGGAAAUAAUCAAACAUAACAGCUCUACUUUUAAACCAAACCCUAGCUAAGCCAACCCAAAAUAAGGAUGCAGAUGAUGUGGAAAAGGUGCCAAAUCCAGGGAUGUGAUGCCGCAGUAACCCAAUCCAACAAUAGCAGGCUAGAGAUUCGGUAAAGACUGACUAGGCAACGGAGCCAUUAGGACCAGAAAUUCCCUAGACACCACUAUAGGAAGAACAUUUAGGCUGCUGAUAAUUGAAUUAAUAGUAGAUGAAAAACGUUUUGUAAUCUCAAGUUUUUCUUCUCUUUUUAGCAAUCUCAACCAGACAAACAAAACAGGCUAAACUUAAAUAAGAGUGGAAGGAAUCUUUUGAGUCUUAGAUACUCUGAUUCAAUUGUUAGUAUUGAUUCAAUAUUUCUUUCUCUUUUAUUAUUAUUUUUCUUUUCAAGUGUUUCAGCCCAUAUUUCAAAUACGGAUCCGAAAUGAACAUAUAGAGAAGGCACACCAAAAGUCUCUUUAUUAAAUUAUUAUAAGAACACCAAGAAUGCAUACAUUUGCAUAUAACUAGUAUAUGCUUGCUCAAUUAUUAGAGACAAAUGCAUGAAAUGUAACUAAACAUUAUUUUAAAAUAAUGAGCACCAUUGACUUUAAAUGAUUGUUUUAGGCAUUGGCAAAUAGUUUCUGCAAUUUUUCCACAGCAUAAUUGUCCAAUUGGAAGGCCUUAGCAAGAACAUCUGGAUUAAUGGGUGGAUUAGGCCCAAAGACUGCAUUUGCUAUGGUGAUGACGCCUGGGUUUUGGCUGCUUAGACCAGCAAAGGCAACUGCAUUCGUCUUUGCAAUGUUAAACUGGAAGUGGAUGAGACCAAUUGGAAAUACAAAAACAUCUCCGGGGUAUAAGACUUUGGUGAACAAACGAUUGGGGUUGGAUGUGACAAAGCCAACAUAAAGGGUGCCCUCCACAACUACAAGGAUCUCUGUGGCACGAGGGUGAGUGUGGGGAGGGUUUAAGCCACCAUUAGGAGCAAAGUCUAAGCGAGCGAGAGAAAUAC
This 10986-nucleotide long non-coding RNA is filed under the name Manihot esculenta (cassava). RNAcentral describes it as "long non-coding RNA (MESC_LNC005035)". The record is from RNAcentral. Lineage: Eukaryota; Viridiplantae; Streptophyta; Magnoliopsida; Malpighiales; Euphorbiaceae.